Molecule: long non-coding RNA, 1070 nt
Filed under: Sarcophilus harrisii (Tasmanian devil)
Lineage: Eukaryota; Metazoa; Chordata; Mammalia; Dasyuromorphia; Dasyuridae
Description: lncRNA (ENSSHAG00000025023.1)
Source: RNAcentral
UACAGUCAAAGGUUCUGAUAAAGGCCUCAUUUCCAAAAUAUAUAGAGAAUUAACUCUAAUUUAUAAAAAAUCAAGCCAUUCUCCAAUUGAAAAAUGGUCAAAGGAUAUGAACAGACAAUUCUCAGAUGAAGAAAUUGAAACUAUCUCUAGGCAUAUGAAAAGAUGCUCCAAGUCAUUAUUAAUCAGAGAAAUGCAAAUUAAGACAACUCUAAGAUACCACUACACACCUGUCAGAUUGGCCAAGAUGACAGGAAAAAAUAAUGAUGAUUGUUGGAGGGGAUGCGGGAAAACUGGGACAUUGAUGCAUUGUUGGUGGAAUUGUGAACGAAUCCAACCAUUUUGAAGCGUAGUUUGGAACUAAGCUCAAAAAGUUAUCAAACUGUGCAUACCCUUUGAUCCAGCAGUGUUACUACUGGGCUUAUAUCCCAAAGAGAUUAUAAAGAAGGGAAAGGGACCUGUAUGUGCACGAAUGUUUGUGGCAGCCCUUUUUGUAGUGGCUAGAAACUGGAAACUGAAUGGAUGUCCAUCAGUUGGAAAAUGGCUGAAUAAAUUGUGGUAUGUGAAUAUUAUGGAAUAUUACUGUUCUGUAAGAAAUGACCAACAGGAUGAUUUCAGAAAGGCCUGGAGAGACUUACACAAACUGAUGCUGAGUGAAAUGAGCAGGACAAGGAGAUCAUUAUAUACUUCAACAACAAUACUAUAUCAUGACCAAUUCUGAUGGACCUGGCCAUCCUCAGCAACGAGAUCAACCAAAUCAUUUCCAAUGGAACAGUAAUGAACUGAACCAGCUACACCCAGAGAAAGAACUCUGGGAGACGACUAAAAACCCUUACAUUGAAUUCCCAAUCCCUAUAUUUAUGCCCACCUGCAUUUUUGAUUUCCUUCACAAGCUAAUUGUACAAUAUUUCAGAGUCUGAUUCUUUUUUAUACAGCAAAAUAAUGUUUUGGUCAUGUAUACUUGUGUAUCUAAUUUAUAUUUUAAUGUAUUUAACAUCUACUGGUCAACCUGCCAUCUAGGGCAGGGGGUGGGGGGUAAGAGUUGAAAAAUUGAAACAAGAGGUUUGGCAAUU